Molecule: transfer RNA, 74 nt
Rfam family: tRNA
About the family: Transfer RNA (tRNA) molecules are approximately 80 nucleotides in length. Their secondary structure includes four short double-helical elements and three loops (D, anti-codon, and T loops). Further hydrogen bonds mediate the characteristic L-shaped molecular structure. tRNAs have two regions of fundamental functional importance: the anti-codon, which is responsible for specific mRNA codon recognition, and the 3' end, to which the tRNAs corresponding amino acid is attached (by aminoacyl-tRNA synthetases). tRNAs cope with the degeneracy of the genetic code in two manners: having more than one tRNA (with a specific anti-codon) for a particular amino acid; and 'wobble' base-pairing, i.e. permitting non-standard base-pairing at the 3rd anti-codon position.
Source: Rfam
GGGCCCGUGGCGUAGCUAGGAAGCGUGGCGGCCUGCGGAGCCGUUGGUCCCGGGUUCAAGUCCCGGCGGGCCCG